This 904-nucleotide ribosomal RNA is filed under the name Verticillium albo-atrum. RNAcentral describes it as "LSU rRNA". It matches the Rfam family "Eukaryotic large subunit ribosomal RNA", at positions 38 to 966 of the family's 3401-position model. Lineage: Eukaryota; Fungi; Ascomycota; Sordariomycetes; Glomerellales; Plectosphaerellaceae. The record is from RNAcentral.
UAAUAUCAAUAAGCGGAGGAAAAGAAACCAACAGGGAUUGCCUUAGUAACGGCGAGUGAAGCGGCAACAGCUCAAAUUUGAAAUCUGGCUCCUUCGGGGUCCGAGUUGUAAUUUGCAGAGGAUGCUUCGAGUUAUGGUUCCUUCCGAGUUCCCUGGAACGGGACGCCAUAGAGGGUGAGAGCCCCGUCUGGUAGGAAACCAUGCUCAUGUGAAGCUCCCUCGACGAGUCGAGUAGUUUGGGAAUGCUGCUCUAAGGGGAGGUAUACUCCUUCCAAGGCUAAAUACCGGCUAGAGACCGAUAGCGCACAAGUAGAGUGAUCGAAAGAUGAAAAGUACUUUGAAAAGAGAGUCAAACAGCACGUGAAAUUGUUAAAAGGGAAGCGCUCGCUACCAGACGUGGGUUCGGUGGUUCAACCAGGUCCAUGACCUGGGGCACUCCGCCGGCCCAGGCCAGCAUCAGCUUUCCGUCGGGGGCAAAGGCGUCGGGAAUGUGGCUCUCCUUCGGGGGAGUGUUAUAGCCCGUCGCGUCAUACCCUUCGGGGGGCUGAGGUACGCGCUCCGCAAGGAUGCUGGCGUAAUGGUAGCUAGUGACCCGUCUUGAAACACGGACCAAGGAGUCAACCUUAUGUGCGAGUGCCCGGGCGUAAAACCCCAGCGCGGAAUGAAAGUGAACGUAGGUGAGAGCUUCGGCGCAUCACCGACCGAUCCCUGAUGUCCUCGGACGGAUUUGAGUGAGAGCAUAUAGGGUUGGACCCGAAAGAAGAUGAACUAUGCGUGUGUAGGGUGAAGCCAGAGGAAACUCUGGUGGAGGCUCGCAGCGGUUCUGACGUGCAAAUCGAUCGUCAAACAUGCGCAUGGGGGCGAAAGACUAAUCGAAUCUUCUGGUAGCUGGUUUCCGCCGAAG